CCCUUAGAUGUUCUGGGCGGCCCGCGCACUACAUUGGCACUAGCAAAGAGAUCCUAGAUUGAAUUCUUUGGGGUAUUCUUCUAAAUGGUGUCGUGACUGGGAUAAAUCCUUGUAAUUAUUGGUUUUGAACGAGGAAUUCCUCGUAAUCGCGGUUUAUCAGCUCGCGUUGAAUGCGUCCCUGCCCUUUGUACACACCGCCCGUCGCUCCUACCGAUGGAUCGUCCGGUGAAGCUCACGGAGUGACUGUUCACGCAACGGUUUACGAAGUGAAAUGGACCUCACGAUUUAGAGGAAGGAGAAGUCGUAACA
RNAcentral lists this ribosomal RNA (309 nucleotides) under uncultured eukaryote. RNAcentral's name for it is "partial 18S ribosomal RNA". It matches the Rfam family "Eukaryotic small subunit ribosomal RNA", at positions 1470 to 1796 of the family's 1831-position model. The record is from RNAcentral.